UAAUACAGAGAUGGCGAGCGUUGUUCGGAAUCACUGGGCUUAAAGCGCGUGUAGGCGGAGUGAUGGGUGCCUUGUGAAAUCCCUCGGCUCAACCGGGGAAUGGCUCGGCAAACCGGCACUCUUGAGGCAGGUAGAGGUUACUGGAACCAUUGGUGGAGCGGUGAAAUGCGUAGAGAUCAAUGGGAACGCCGGUGGCGAAAGCGAGUAACUGGGCCUGAUCUGACGCUGAGACGCGAAAGCGUGGGUAGCAAACAGGAUUAGAUACCCUGGUAGUCCACGCCGUAAACGAUGCGCACUAGGUAUGAGCGGUCUGACGCCGCUCGUGCCGAAACAAAAGCGUUAAGUGCGCCGCCUGGGGAGUACGGCCGCAAGGCUA
RNAcentral lists this ribosomal RNA (376 nucleotides) under uncultured bacterium. RNAcentral describes it as "bacterial SSU rRNA". It matches the Rfam family "Bacterial small subunit ribosomal RNA", at positions 521 to 896 of the family's 1533-position model. The record is from RNAcentral.